GAUGAACGCUGGCGGCGUGCCUAAUACAUGCAAGUCGAGCGAACAGACGAGGAGCUUGCUCCUUUGACGUUAGCGGCGGACGGGUGAGUAACACGUGGGUAACCUACCUAUAAGACUGGGAUAACUUCGGGAAACCGGAGCUAAUACCGGAUAAUAUUUCGAACCGCAUGGUUCGAUAGUGAAAGAUGGCUUUGCUAUCACUUAUAGAUGGACCUGCGCCGUAUUAGCUAGUUGGUAAGGUAACGGCUUACCAAGGCAACGAUACGUAGCCGACCUGAGAGGGUGAUCGGCCACACUGGAACUGAGACACGGUCCAGACUCCUACGGGAGGCAGCAGUAGGGGAUCUUCCGCAAUGGGCGAAAGCCUGACGGAGCAACGCCGCGUGAGUGAUGAAGGUCUUCGGAUCGUAAAACUCUGUUAUUAGGGAAGAACAAACGUGUAAGUAACUGUGCACGUCUUGACGGUACCUAAUCAGAAAGCCACGGCUAACUACGUG
Molecule: ribosomal RNA, 497 nt
Filed under: uncultured bacterium
Lineage: Bacteria
Description: partial 16S ribosomal RNA
Rfam family: Bacterial small subunit ribosomal RNA
Source: RNAcentral